UACGAAGGGGGCUAGCGUUGCUCGGAAUCAUUGGGCGUAAAGCGUCUGCAGGUGGGCUUUUAAGUCUUUUGUUAAAGCUCUGGGCUUAACCUAGAAUCUGCAAAGGAAACUAUUUGUCUUGAGUAUGGUAGAGGUAAGGGGAAUUUCCAGUGGAGCGGUGAAAUGCUUAGAUAUUGGAAAGAACACCAAGGGCGAAGGCACCUUACUGGGCCAGUACUGACACUGAGAGACGAAAGCUAGGGGAGCAAACGGG
Molecule: ribosomal RNA, 253 nt
Filed under: uncultured bacterium
Lineage: Bacteria
Description: partial 16S ribosomal RNA
Rfam family: Bacterial small subunit ribosomal RNA
Source: RNAcentral